This is a long non-coding RNA of Cuculus canorus (common cuckoo), 4986 nucleotides long. RefSeq lists it as uncharacterized. The transcript is spliced from 3 exons. The record is from RefSeq and is a predicted model, not a curated record. NCBI's taxonomy places the organism in Eukaryota, Metazoa, Chordata, Aves, Cuculiformes, Cuculidae.
AUUAUACAGUGACCUUUUCCAUGCUUAUAAAUAUUGUACAUGCUUUUACAGAAAUCAGUUUCAACACUGUGUCAAAAUAUUUACUUAUUUAUUGUGGAUUUGUGCUUAUAAUGAGCUAAAGGAUCCUGUCUCGCUCAUCCAAAGUAAUUGCAGCUAUCGACUGGGAGCGGUUUCUCCCAACCACCUGAAUGAAGAAGCAUUUGCUGAAAUUGCCUUUUCCCUAUCAUUCAUUGAAUUCAGCAGCCCUAUCUUUCAGGCAACAUGGUUUUGAAUAUGAACCAGGAAUUCUCUCUUUUAGGAUGACCAUCAUCCUUAAUUGACUUAAUGUGGAGAACCGCAUCCUGGACUGCAUUAAAAGAAGCAUGGCCAGCAGGCUGAGGGAGGUAAUUCUGCCCCUCUACUCUGCUCAGGUGAGACCUCACCUGGAAUCCCAUGUCCAGCUCUGUGGCCCUCAGCACAGGAAAGACAUGGAGCUGUUUGAGCAGGUCUGGAGGAGAUGAUCUGAAGGCUGGAGCACCUGCUGUACGAGGACAGACUGAGAGAGUUGGGGUUGUUCAGCCUGGAGAAGGCUUCAGGGAGACCUUAGAGCAGCUUCCAGUGAUGAAAGGGGGCCUACAGCAAAGAUGGAGACAAACUUUAGCGAGGUCUGCUACGACAGGACAAGGAGUAACGGUUUUAAACCAAGGGAGGGGAGAUUUGUACUCUAUAACUGCCAGUGAAAUUGUUUAUGUAAAACAAGUAAAAGGACAUUUUAUAGGAGACACCCCAGUCAGUCUUGCUCCUAAAACACAGGAACAUGUCCAAAGUAGAAACAGUGACUAAAUUAGCAAUGAAAUCACUGAGGUGGAAAAGGAACAUCAAAUAUCCUGGCUGACGUCUUGCUUGCUUGGAUGAAUGAACUGUGGAAGCAUUGACUCAAAGGAGGACCGGAGUCCUGUAGUUGAACGUUGCAUUCGUUGUGGGGCUGAACAGGAUUUUUCUCAAGGAGAAAAAUGAGUCAUUGACCCACCUCUAACCAUGCUUGGAGUUCUUGACUAUACUAAGGUUUUUAUAAGGCAUUAAUAAGGGAUGACUCCUGCCUAAAAAAAAUAUUUAGUUGAUAAUUCUAUUACACUUUUUCUAUUUUUAUACUUACAGAAAUCUCAUCAAUAUACUUGAUAGCUGGAGAUCUUCAAAGAUAUUUAAUGUCUUCAUUUUAUGUAGUCAUCUAAAUAUAGUGAAAAUAAAGACUAAAUAAGCAAAACAGCAAUGUUUAAAAUUAAUGGCCUCUACUACCUGAAUAAGACUAUUCAAAUCUUCAAUCAACAAAUAAAAGUCUCACAACUUUUCUUCUUAUUCUGGUCAUUGCUUUUAGCUGAACUCAGCACUGAACAUGCUUUUGAGCUUCGAUCUGACAACAACUAAGAGAAGCAUAAACAAAUUAUGUCUCUUUUUAAGUCUAAACUUGGUAUCUGUAAAGUCAAUGUAAGAAAGAUGGAGUCUGUCCUUGCUUAGUCACCUAAGAAAAUUGUUUGGAUAAACCUCUGCAGCUGCAGGCUAUUGUAUGAUUACUGUUAGGAGGUGUUUAAUGGAUUGGUCCAUUAUAACAUCUUGGUCCACAUGGAACACAGAUAACAAAGUGCCAUCUGUGUUUUAAAUGAAGUAAAUGGGUGUGGGCACACAUUUUGUUUAAUUGUGAAAAUAUUGUGCUAAUAUAAAAUUGAACUUCCAUGGAAUUACAUGGACGACGACUCUGUGAAUCUCACUCUUAAGUGACAACUGCAUUGUAUUUGGGCAUGGGGAACUCAUUUAAAACCGGAAAAUCUUCUCUAAGGAAGGAAAUUUAAAUUAGGUUCUGCAAAAUGGCAAGAUCCUUUAUGCAUUUAACCCUUUAGUGCAAGGUCCUGAUGUUGAGGAGGUGUUAGCACGGCCUUUGAAUGCCUGCCAUUUCUGCAUCUCAGAGAACUAUACAAAGAAAAUACAUAUAUAGAUAAAAGAAUAUGCAUCCACUGUGUGAGGCUGUGGAUGAAGAUAUUUGGAUAUCCUAGGACAGUAUUGUUUCUUUAAAUCUGGUGGAACGCUGUUUAAAUGACACUAGUACGGUCUGCAAAUCCAGCCCAUGAAGAAAGGAAGAACUUCCAACAAUAUCUGGCAAGUGCACUCAUGUUGCCUAUCCCUGAAAGAAAUGGAGAGCAACAGCUAGCAGAAAGGUAAUACAUCUAUAAUUUCAUUGUGUAUCUUUAGAUCCUCAACAGAAAAAUUAAAAAUUCAGUCUCAUUCUAAGUAUUUAUAAUGACACACUCUGUGGGCCACUGAUUGCUCUUCCUACUACAAAGUUAUGUUUUUUGGAGUGAAUCUAACCUACUGCGAACCUGGGAGCCUUGGCAGAUGAUACUCAGCUGCUGAACAGUCUAAUUAUCAUAAUUAUCAGAUAUUUAAGUGACUAACAAAAAAUUAGGGAAUGGCCAAUCCGUGCUCACUGAGGACUUAAAAACUUUAGAAUAACUAAGAAGUUGAAUAAGGGUGGGUGGUUUUGUAUUUAGGUUUUUAACAUUUCAAGUUCCUUGCCUGUGCUUGACUGAAUCUCUUCAAAAAUAGACAAUAUUUGAAAUAUAGCAGAAGGGUGAAGAUAAAAUUCCUAGUUUCCUGCAUUUGCCUCUAAUCAUAUGCACAAAUUAUUACUUACAGCAACUUAAAUUUGCUUUCCAUUUUAUGUCAAUCAAUGUUCAGAAAAGAGAUACUAUAGACUGGCUGAGUAUGAUCACAAAGUGAACUCUUCUUGGGUGCACCUGAUUUUUUUUUCUCUGUAUUCCUCUUUCCAGCAGUAGAGUGUAUCUGUAGAAAGUUGAAAACAACAGGUUCCUCCUAAAAGGGACUGAGAAAAUGGUGAUUUUCCCUUGUCUAAAGUGAAGACCUCGGAUCUCCUGAACCCUGACCAGGCAGCAUUGUAGCCUCACUGGUGCAUAUCCUUAGCCCAACUACGUUAUCUUCCAAACUGAGAUCAGUCCCUUUUUCGAGAAAGUGAACAUAUAAGUUCACACACAGUGAUCUGGGUUUUGCCAUAAAGAGAAAUGUCAAACAGCUGUAGAAGGUAUUUUAAGUUAAUUCUUUUACUGCUCGAUACAUAAUUAGAAAGGAAAGAGAAGUCUUCCAGCAGUAUCGGUCUCUACCACGUAGGCUAUAUCAUGCACCCCACUGUGCAUGCACACAUACAAAUACAGAUGUUCAUGAGCACUUGCAUUCACUUGGAAUAUGUGUUUGCAACUGUUAGUGAUUUCUCUAAAGUCUGUUGGGGCAUCUUAAAUCAUUUCCUAUGCCUUGUACCAAAGCUAAUUUGAAAUAUCUUAGGCAAAAUUACAUUUUGUGACUGUGACAGAGGAAGUGUGAAGGUUUUUAUGGAGAUAGAUGUGAUGAUGAGUGACAAGAAGUAUCAGUUGGGUUCUGGAAGAUGAAGAUGUGGAUUUGAAGGAAGCUCCAGGGAUGUUUUUGGGGGGGGGGGGCAGGGAUGAAACCAAGAAAGUUUGAUGAAGAUUUGAAGAGCAGUGAACUAUUUCAGGAAGUUGGGAAGUUGUUCCUGGGAGGAAAUCACCUUUCCCUCCUUUCUCACCUUCCAUUAACCUGCCCUUGACAGCUGAUCAGACUGUGAGGUUGCAGUGGGACUGUAACAUGCUCUUCCACUACUAAUCUCCUUCUUCCCAAAAAGAAUCUUCUAUUUUACUUAUUCCCUUAUGGAAUCGUGGAAUUACAGAAUAGUUUAGGCUGGAAAGGAUCUUAAAGCCCACCCAGUUCCAAUCCCCCUGCCUCAGGCAGGGACACUUCCCACUGGCCCAGGCUGCUCCAAGCCCCAUCCAACCUGGCCUUGAACACUUCCAACAGUGGUGCAUCCACAACUUCUCUGAGCAACCUCCUUCAGUGUCUCACCACCCUCAUUGUAAAAAUUGUCUUUUUUUGUAUCUAAUCUAACUCUGCUUUCCUUCAGUUUGAAGUCAUUGCUCCUUGUUCUGUCACUACAGGCUCUGCUAAAAAAGUUCUCUCCUCCUUUUGUAUAAAAGGUCCCACAUAAAUGGACCUCUGGACCGGGUCCAGCAGGUCCAUGUCUUUUCCCAUAAUGGGGACCCAGAGCUGGAUGCAGUACUGUGAGUGGUAUCUCAUGAGAGCUGAAUAGAGGGAAGAAUCGCCUCCCUCAACCUGCCAGCCACACUUCUGAUGUAUCCUAGGAGAGAUGAUUUGCCAUGACUGUUUUCCUGGGACUCGGGCUCCCAUCACUCCAGUGCCAAGUAGGAGGGGAUAUGACUGGUCCUGCCUUAGGGCAAUGGAAUGGAGGAGAGGGGUUGUAGGCACAGCCUGGAACAGCCCUGGGAAGCUGGUCUUGAGGCAGGAGAAGGUAUGGGACUCUGGCAGUGCUGAGAGGGACUAUUGCCCCUUCCGCACUUCCGUCCACCACUCAGGAACAGAUUUAUCUCUAUGGCAAAAGCAGCAAGACCGUGUGAGCUGUGCAGCCAGGAGACAGAGGUUAGCAUUUCAGAUGCAGCUUGUUCAAACAACCAAGCCUUGUAACCUCUAGCACAAAAAGCUCAUACAACUAUUUUAUUGUUCCAGCAGACCAGUUUCCAAGCUAAAUCCUUACUUUGACAGCUAUAAAGCCACUUCUCAAGAAUGAUGUUAAGAUCCAUUGAAACGCAUCUGCAGUCACUCUGCUGUAAUGCAGGAGAGAAGGAGACAUUUGGCUCAGAGUUCAAAUUCCAUUGUUUUUCUCCAUAAUCCCUCCCUCCAAACAGUUCAGGAAGCUGAAAACCUGCUCAGACCUGAUGAACUUGAAAAUCUACUAUGGUUUGGCUGUUAUUCACUGGGAUUUGAUCCAUUGCAUAAGAGCAAAAAAAUUACUCCAUGAAGAUUCAGAGUGUUCAAGGUCACAGCCUGGAACUGAUGACAAACAUUGCUCCAGGCUCCUGGUCUGACCUGGUAGAAUAGAUGAACUCAACCUUGUAAACUGUCCUCUGAGGUGAA